GAUGAACGCUGGCGGCGUGCCUAAUACAUGCAAGUCGAGCGAACAGACGAGGAGCUUGCUCCUCUGACGUUAGCGGCGGACGGGUGAGUAACACGUGGAUAACCUACCUAUAAGACUGGGAUAACUUCGGGAAACCGGAGCUAAUACCGGAUAAUAUAUUGAACCGCAUGGUUCAAUAGUGAAAGACGGUUUUGCUGUCACUUAUAGAUGGACCCGCGCCGCAUUAGCUAGUUGGUAAGGUAACGGCUUACCAAGGCAACGAUGCGUAGCCGACCUGAGAGGGGGAUAGGCACAACUGGAACUGAGACACGGUCCAAACCCCAACGGGAGGCAGCAGUAGGGAAUCUUCCGAAAGGGGGGAAAGCUUGACGGAGCAACGCGGGGUGGGUGAUGAAGGUCUUCGGAUCGUAAAACCCUGUUAUUAGGGAAGAACAAAUGUGUAAGUAACUAUGCACGUCUUGACGGUACCUAAGCAGAAAGCCACGGCUAACUACGU
Molecule: ribosomal RNA, 496 nt
Filed under: uncultured bacterium
Lineage: Bacteria
Description: partial 16S ribosomal RNA
Rfam family: Bacterial small subunit ribosomal RNA
Source: RNAcentral